CCCUUAGAUGUUCUGGGCCGCACGCGCGCUACACUGAUGCAUUCAACGAGUUUCUUCCUGGUCCGAGAGGAAUGGGUAACCUUUUGAAAGUGCAUCGUGAUAGGGAUAGACUAUUGCAAUUAUUGGUCUUCAACGAGGAAUUCCUAGUAGACGUAGUUCAUCAGACUGCAUCGAUUACGUCCCUGCCCUUUGUACACACCGCCCGUCGCUCCUACCGAUUCAAUGCUCAGGUGAGCCAUUCGGACUUUCAUCAUGCUGGUUUCCAGUUUUGAUGAAGGAAAGUCUUGCGAACCUUAUCAUUUAGAGGAAGGAGAAGUCGUAACA
RNAcentral lists this ribosomal RNA (324 nucleotides) under uncultured eukaryote. RNAcentral describes it as "partial 18S ribosomal RNA". It matches the Rfam family "Eukaryotic small subunit ribosomal RNA", at positions 1470 to 1796 of the family's 1831-position model. The record is from RNAcentral.